CUAGCAGUGAGACCACUGAGAUGAGCUGAAAAGACGACAGUGAAACAUGCACUCAGCCUUCCUCCGGGACUACGGGCUUCUUCCUUCAGGAUUUAAUUCCCCUUUCCCUGGAUACCAGCUGCAACACUGAAAGAUUCACAUUCUCUGUCUUCCAUUUCAAUACAAGAUGCUUUAAAGGAGCUCCCAUUUAUGGCAGAUGCACAGAGAUAUCAAGAUGAAGGAACAAGAAAAGUGACACCAUGUUAAUGGCCCAGCAAAGUCACAAAAAAGCAUCCCAACCAUUUAUCUCCUAAAAUCUAUGGAUGAAUAUUUUAUAUAAGACCAAAAGAAUCAAAA
Long non-coding RNA from Columba livia (rock pigeon), 336 nucleotides. RefSeq lists it as uncharacterized. The record is from RefSeq and is a predicted model, not a curated record. The transcript has 3 exons. NCBI's taxonomy places the organism in Eukaryota, Metazoa, Chordata, Aves, Columbiformes, Columbidae.